AUGAACGCUGGCGGCGUGCCUAAUACAUGCAAGUCGAGCGAACAGACGAGGAGCUUGCUCCUUUGACGUUAGCGGCGGACGGGUGAGUAACACGUGGGUAACCUACCUAUAAGACUGGGAUAACUUCGGGAAACCGGAGCUAAUACCGGAUAAUAUUUCGAACCGCAUGGUUCGAUAGUGAAAGAUGGCUUUGCUAUCACUUAUAGAUGGACCUGCGCCGUAUUAGCUAGUUGGUAAGGUAACGGCUUACCAAGGCAACGAUACGUAGCCGACCUGAGAGGGUGAUCGGGCACACUGGAACUGAGACACGGUCCAGACUCCUACGGGAGGCAGCAGUAGGGAAUCUUCCGCAAUGGGCGAAAGCCUGACGGAGCAACGCCGCGUGAGUGAUGAAGGUCUUCGGAUCGUAAAACUCUGUUAUUAGGGAAGAACAAACGUGUAAGUAACUGUGCACGUCUUGACGGUACCUAAUCAGAAAGCCACGGCUAACUACGUG
Molecule: ribosomal RNA, 496 nt
Filed under: uncultured bacterium
Lineage: Bacteria
Description: partial 16S ribosomal RNA
Rfam family: Bacterial small subunit ribosomal RNA
Source: RNAcentral